Molecule: ribosomal RNA, 449 nt
Filed under: uncultured bacterium
Lineage: Bacteria
Description: partial 16S ribosomal RNA
Rfam family: Bacterial small subunit ribosomal RNA
Source: RNAcentral
GUCGAGAAUCUUUCACAAUGGGGGCAACCCUGAUGGAGCGACGCCGCGUGGAGGAUAAGGUCUUCGGAUUGUAAACUCCUGUCAUGCGUGAACAAGGUUGCUUGGAUAAUACCUGAGCAAAUUGAUGGUAGCGCAAGAGGAAGAGACGGCUAACUCUGUGCCAGCAGCCGCGGUAAUACAGAGGUCUCAAGCGUUGUUCGGAAUCACUGGGCGUAAAGGGUGCGUAGGUGGCGUGGCAAGUCAGAUGUGAAAGCCCGGGGCUCAACCUCGGAACUGCAGUCGAUACUGCCAUGCUAGAGUACUGGAGGGGUGACUAGAAUUCUCGGUGUAGCAGUGAAAUGCGUAGAUAUCGAGAGGAAUACCAAAGGCGUAGGCAGGUCACUGGACAGUUACUGACACUGAGGCACGAAGGCCAGGGGAGCGAACGGGAUUAGAUACCCGAGUAGUCC